UACAAUGUUUUGACCUUUUGUCUUAUUUAAAUUUUUUUGCGAUUAAUAUUUUUAUUCUUACUGAAUACUAAAACAUAAUAGUACUUUAUACGUGACUAAUUUUUUAAAAAAAUUUUAUAAAUUUUUAAAUAAGAUGAAUGGUUAAACGUUAGACACGAAAA
This 161-nucleotide microRNA precursor is filed under the name Oryza brachyantha (malo sina). RNAcentral describes it as "MIR812 microRNA precursor family". It matches the Rfam family "MIR812 microRNA precursor family", at positions 27 to 187 of the family's 205-position model. Lineage: Eukaryota; Viridiplantae; Streptophyta; Magnoliopsida; Poales; Poaceae. The record is from Rfam by way of RNAcentral.